UAGGUAGGUGGCCUUUAUUGCGAGGCUGAGUAUGAUGGGCUCCAUCCAGCACGAACACAAAGCCCUGAACAGACUCUUCCCUUUGCAUUCACACCAGGGCAGGGAUUCAAAUGUCUUCAGAGAUUUCUGAGACCACCAGUGAUGGGAGACCUAAGGAGGAGGGCAGGGGGAGCAGCACUGCUCUGGAGCUCUGACCCAGGAAGCCCCACCACACCCUGACCUUCCUUGGCUCCAUGACCUCAUCCUGCAGGAAUGCGUUCUGCCAUGGAGGAGAGCAGCCGUAAGCAGAGCUCAUCAACUGCUCGCUCUCCAGGGGGCCAUAACCACAUUGUCACUGUUUCUACACUGUCUGGAAGAAGAAUGGGCAUUGUUACCUCAAUGUGGACCACCAGGGGCUUGCAAGAAGAGGCUGAAGAUGACAGGCAGAGACAGCUCUACCACCAUCUCCCGCCACUUACCAGG
This 462-nucleotide small RNA is filed under the name Pongo abelii (Sumatran orangutan). RNAcentral describes it as "processed transcript". The record is from RNAcentral. Lineage: Eukaryota; Metazoa; Chordata; Mammalia; Primates; Hominidae.